UCCCCCUCUCCCUCUCUCCUUCUCUCCCUCUCUCCCCCUCUUGUAAAUUAACCACUAGAAUUGGCAGCUUCCUCUUCCUCUGAGCCCUGACCCUUUUGGAUGAGCUGUGGUCAAGGCUAUUGGAGCGAGAGAGGGUGUGGCGUUCUGUGUGGCCACUAGGGCGCACUCCUGCUGCUCCUCACCCCAUUCCUGGAGGCUUUAGUGAGGGUAAAUGAGAUGAUCUUUUUAGGCUAUUUUGGAUUAAAUCUGUUGGAAAAUAGACAAUAACCUGACCCUAACAACCACCUUGCAAAUGAAGAUUGAUAGAAGUAAACGCACACGGCAUAGCCUUAAUACAUUUGUAAUAAACCUACCCAUACGUUUACAUUUUUCACUCUAUACAAUUCAUGUACAGUUCAUGUACAAUUCAUGUACAGUAACGGUCAAAAGUCUUAGAACACCUACUCAGUCAACGGUUUUUAUUUAUUUAGUAGAAUAAUAGAGAAGACUUCAAAACUGUGACAUAACAAAUAUUAUUUAUUUUUAUUUAUUUAUUAUUUUUAUUUUUUUAACCUUUUAUUUAAUUAACUAGGCAUGUCAAUUAAGAACAAAUUCUUAUUUACAGUGACGGCCUGGGACUUUUACUAUAUGACCGGUGUUCUAGUGGUUGUGUAGUGGUCCUAGCUGCUAUCUGAGCUAGUUAACAUAUCAGACAGCUGUUUCUUUCGUCUCCUUAAUAAGAGUUAGGAUCAAUUCCAUUUCAAUUCAAAGUUGAAAGUUCCUGUUACCUUCCCGAAUUGACUGAAAUGAAAUGAAAUGGACCUCAACCCCGAUGCCCUCACUAUAGAGACAACAGGUGACUUCUUCUCCUGCUUCCAGUAUGUCCUGUCGUGUUGUCAGGCUCUGAGAUAUACAUGUACAUAUUUGUAAAUAUGUCUCUGCUCAGGUCUAGAUUGAGUGGACAGAGUAUUGUAGGUAAGGGGGCAUAUCACCAACCCUAUGCUGUUAGCAGUGGUUUAAAUCUCACAUGACUCAGAACCUCAGAUGAAGUGUACAUCAGCAUCAUGUAAAUAGCUGAUAUACAGUCAGUAGAUGAGUUGGGGUUUUAUAGGUCAUCUUCCUACAGCAGGCUCUGUGUUGUACUUGGAUGUGUGUACAUUACCCUGACGAUAGAAUAACAGCUGCUACAGUCAGACGCAAGCAAGCAUGUCUGUGGUAUGCGGACGCUUCAACCGAGCACUUCAAGGCUAGCCUGGGUGGCAGGCUGUUUCGGGCUCUCUUGCCAACUCCUUAUGGAAUGGAUGACAAUGGAGUAGGUGGGAAGCAAAAACUGGGACCAGGCUACUUCACGGCUAUGAGAGCAAACUACUAGUGUCUGAGAACUAGGAAAAGUCUGGCUUUUCUUUUCUUUUCUGUGCUUUUCUUAUGCAUCGAUCUGUACAGAGAGAGAGAGAGAGCGAGAAAGGGAUAUUUUGGAGUUGUAACAUAUUGUACCUACUGUAUCCAGACAUGGGCUCAAAUACUACUUGAAAUCUUCCGAAUACUUUAGCUGGGCUUGAUUGAGCUUGUCCUGGCAGAAUGGAACCAAUAGAACUGCUGGGGGUGCCGGAGGAGUCGUUGCCAAUCCUCAUUGCCUGUGGUCUGCCCGUCAGGAAGUCCAGGAUCCAGUUCCAGAAGGUAGUGUCCGGACCCAGGGCUCUGAGAAGUCCAGGAUCCAGUUCCAGAAGGUAGUGUCCGGACCCAGGGCUCUGAGAAGUCCAGGAUCCAGUUCCAGAAGGUAGUGUCCGGACCCAGGGCUCUGAGUUUGGUCUCGAGCUUGGAGGGAACUAUAGUGUUUGAAGGCUGCACUGUAGUCAGUGAACAGCAUUCUCGCGUAGGGGUUCCUCUUGUCCAGAUGGGUUAGGUCCGUGUGAAUAGCGAUGGAAAUCUGUUGUGCUUCUGUUGGAGCUGUAGGCAAACUGAAGUGGGUCCAGUGUGCCUGGUAUGAUGAUGGCCUUGAAUGAUGCGAAUGAAAAUAAAUCAUUAAAAGAUUUCAAAUAGUAUUUAAAUCCAGGUCUGACUGUAUCUACAUGGGUUGGCAGGUUCUAUAUAUCUUCAUCUCAAUUCUAUAUACCUUCAUCUCAAUUCUAUAUACUUUCAUCUUUAUUCUAUAUACCUUCAUCUCAAUUCUAUAUACCUUCAUCUCAAUUCUAUAUACCUUCAUCUCAAUUCUAUAUACCUUCAUCUCAAUUCUAUAUACCUUCAUCUCAAUUCUAUAUACUUUCAUCUUUAUUCUAUAUACCUUCAUCUCAAUUCUAUAUACUUUCAUCUUUAUUCUAUAUACCUUCAUCUCAAUUCUAUAUACCUUCAUCUCAAUUCUAUAUACCUUCAUCUCAAUUCUAUAUACCUUCAUCUCAAUAUGUCUGUUCUGUUGUCGUCUGUCCAGUGGUCAGUUACAUUCACUAAUACAGAAUGGAAAAUAUCAUUGGGGGAAAAUACUACAUUUUAGUAAUUAUGUAUCAACUUUUUUUAUACAAGUUUAUUUACGUUUUUAUUUAUUUAUUUCAUUUUUUAUUUUAAAUAUAUGUAUUAUUUAAUGCAAGUUGUGUUUUUAUUGUUAGUAUUCUAUAUAAUGUUAUAUAUAUGUUUACCUCUGAUUUGCACAUGGAUAAUGUAUUUGUCAUGUACUAUUUGUCAACCAAUUGUUUGUAUUACUGUUGAAUACUUCUGGAUAUAUCAGAAGACACUUUAGUUGCAGACUGGUAGUGAGAAACAGAGAAACAUAGAAACAGAAUGCAUGGCAUGUAUAAACCUGCCAUUCUUAAAACACAGAGGUACAGGUAUCGGAGACUAUCCAUCUGAACUUUCCCCCAAACCACCUCCCGAUCACAGACACACAGAAUUACUGCCUCCCAGUGAGAUCCCUUCUGAUCAGCCAGUCAAGACAAGAGGGCCAGGGAAGGCUUCCCGUGUGUGUGUAUGUUAGGGCUACCAGGGAGAAGGAUGACUACCAGGGAGAAGGAUGAAGGUAAUGUUGUCAGUCUGAUGUUGAAGGAUUGUUCUACUCAGUUAUAUCACAAUCACCAGCUGGGUGUUCUGUGUGCAAGGAGUUUUGAAUAUUUGUUUUAUUUCCUGUGUUUACAACCACCAGGGUCGUAACCACCAAGGUCGUAACUACCAGGGUCGUAACUACCUGGGUCGUAACCACCAGGGUUGUAACUACCAGGGUGUUAACUACCAGGGUUGUAACUACCUGGGUCGUAACCACCAGGGUUGUAACUACCAGGGUCAUAACUACCAGGGUCGUAACCACCAGGGUUGUAACUACCAGGGUCGUAACUACCAGGAUUGUAACCACCAGGGUUGUAACCACCAGGGUCGUAACUACCAGGGUCGUAACUACCAGGGUCAUAACUACCAGGGUCGUAACCACCAGGGUCGUAACCACCAGGGUCGUAACUACUAGGGUCGUAACCACCAAGGUUGUAACUACCAGGGUCAUAACUACCAGGGUCAUAACCACCUGGGUCGUAACCACCAGGGUUGUAACUACCAGGGUCAUAACUACCAGGGUCGUAACUACCAGGAUUGUAACCACCAGGGUCGUAACUACCAGGGUCGUAACCACCAGGGUCGUAACCACCAGGGUCGUAAUUACCAGGGUCGUAACUACCAGGGUUGUAACUACCAGGGUCAUAACUACCAGGGUUGUAACUUCCAGGGUCAUAACCACCAGGGUUGUAACUACCAGGGUCGUAACCACCAGGGUCGUAACCACCAGGGUCAUAACUACCAGGGUUGUAACUACCAGGGUCAUAACUACCAGGGUUGUAACUACCAGGGUCGUAACCACCAGGGUUGUAACUACCAGGGUCGCUAUCACCAGGGUCGUAACUACCAGGGUUGUAACUACCAGGGUCGUAACCACCAGGGUUGUAACUACCAGGGUCGCUAUCACCAGGGUCGUAACCACCAGGGUCGUAACUACCAGGUCCAUUCUCUCUUGCUCUGUGACUCCUCUGAACCCUGUAUACAAAACCAACACCCCGUAUAAACUGCCAUGAGGCUGAACAACAAUGCAUUGUGCGCUUUACCUUGUGUAAACAACUUAUUUUUGUUUGCUCUCCUCAACUAUUUGAAAUCAACAGCCUAUAGAUAGCACUAGCAGUGUGUGGGUAAAAUCACUGGACAAGCUGAGCCCGUCAAAAAUCCAUAUUAAAACCUAUAUUGUGAUAAUUUCUCUAUACUCAUUAGUUCAUACGCCACCAUGAUAUACAAUAAGACCGUGACAACAAAAAGACAACUGUCUCACAGUGGCCGAAUAAAUUUGACUGGACAUGCAGUACCAGUCAAAAGUUUGGACACACCUACUCAUUCAAGGGUUUUUCUUGAUUUGUUUUACUAUUUUCUACUAUUUUCUACAUUGAAUAGAAUAAUAGUGACUACAUCAAAACUAUGAAAUAACACAUGUGAAAUAAUGUAGUAACCAAAAAGUGUUAAAAAAUCAAAAUCUAGUUUAUAUUUGAGAUUCUUCAAAGUAGUAGCUGUCAAAGUAGCCACCUUUUGCCUUGAUGACAGCGUUACAGACUAUCGGCAUUCUCUCAACCAACGUCACCUGGAAUGCUUUUCCAAGUUUUAAAGGAGUUCCCACAUAUGCUGAGCACUUGUUGUCAUUUUUUCCUUCACUCUGUGGUCCAACUCAUCCCAAACCAUCUCAAUUGGGUUGAGUUCGGUUGAUUGUGGAGGCCAGGUCAUCUGAUGCAGCACUCCAUCACUCUCCUUCUUGGUCAAAUAGCCCUUACACAGCCUGGAGGUGUGUUGGGUCAUUGUCCUGUUGAAAAACAAAUGAUAGUCCCAUUAAGCACAGACCAGAUGGGAUGGCGUAUCACUGCAGAAUGCUGUGGUAGCCAUGCUAGUUAAGUGCGCCUUGAAUUCUAAAUAAAUCACUGACAGUGUCACCAGCAAAUCACCCCCACAUCAUAACACCUCCUCCUCCAUGCUUUACAGUGGGAAAUAAACAUGCAGAGAUCAUCCGUUCACCCACACAGCAUCUCACAAAGACAUAACACCUCCUCCUCCAUGCUUUACAGUGGGAAAUAAACAUGCAGAGAUCAUCCGUUCACCCACACCGCAUCUCACAAAGACAUAACACCUCCUCCUCCAUGCUUUACAGUGGGAAAUAAACAUGUAGAGAUCAUCCGUUCACCCACACAGCAUCUCACAAAGACAUAACACCUCCUACUCCAUGCUUUAAAGUGGGAAAUAAACAUGUAGAGAUCAUCCGUUCACCCACACAGCAUCUCACAAAGACAUAACACCUCCUCCUCCAUGCUUUACAGUGGGAAAUAAACAUGUAGAGAUCAUCUGUUCACCCACACAGCAUCUCACAAAGACAUAACACCUCCUCCUCCAUGCUUUACAGUGGGAAAUAAACAUGCAGAGAUCAUCCGUUCACCCACACCGCAUCUCACAAAGACAUAACACCUCCUCCUCCAUGCUUUACAGUGGGAAAUAAACAUGUAGAGAUCAUCCGUUCACCCACACCGCAUCUCACAAAGACAUAACACCUCCUCCUCCAUGCUUUACAGUGGGAAAUAAACAUGUAGAGAUCAUCCGUUCACCCACACCGCAUCUCACAAAGACACGGCGGUUGGGGGAAAGAAAAGGAAAUUGGACUCAUCUGACCAAAGGACAGAUUUCCACCGGUCUAAUGCUCGUGUUCCUUGGCCCAAGCAAGUCUCUUCUUAUUAUUGGUGUCCUUUAGUAGUGGUUUCUUUGCAGCAAUUCGACCAUGAUGAAGGCCUGAUUCACGUAGUCUCCUCUGAACAGUUGAUUUUGAGAUUUGUGAAGCAUUUAUUUGGGCUGCAAUUGCUGAGGCUGGAAACUCUAAUGAACUUAUCCUCUGCAGCAGAGGUAACUCUGGGUGUUCCUUUCCUGUGGCGGUCCUCAUGAGAGCCAGUUUCAUCAUAGUGCUUGAUGAUUUUUGUGUUGAAGAAACUUUAAAAGUUCUUGAAAUGUUCCUCCGCAUUGACUUCAUGUCUUGAAGCAAUGACGGACUGUCAUUUCUCUUUGCUUAUUUGAGCUGUUAAUAUGGACUCGUUCUUUUACCAAAUAGGGCUAUCUUCUGUAUACACCCCCUACCUUCUAACAACCCAUCUGAUUGGCUCAAAGGCAUUAAGAUGGAAAUAAAUUCCACUAUUUAACUUUUAACAAGGCACACCUGUUAAUUGAAAUGUAUUCCAAGUGACUAACUCAUGAAACUGGUUGAGAGAAUGCCACGAGUGUGCAAAGCUGAUAUCAAGGCAAAGGGUGGCUACUUUGAAGAAUCUCAAAUAUAAAAUAUAUUUGGAUUUGUUUAACGCUUUUUUGGUUACUACAUGAUUCCAUAUGUGUUAUUUCAUUGUUUUGAUGUCUUCACUAUUAUUCUACAAUGUAGAAAAUUGUAAAAAAAAUAAUAAAGAAAGAAAAAAACCUUUGAAUAAGCAGCUGUGUCCAAACCUUUGACUGGUAUUGUAUGUUUGUUUCAUCACAAAACCCGGAGAGCAACAUCUGUGCGGUGAAGUCCACAAAGCAAAUAUUGCAUGUAACAAACAGUUACAUGACCUGGAACAUGGUCCAACAAGUUAAUGUUUUCGACAGUUUUACUAAACAACUACUGAUUUAGAACCACUGAGUUUCCGCAAGUCAGCACAAAGACGACGAGAGUAUCGCCUCCGCUGUUACAGCACCAUUUCAACUUAAACAUUCACAUCAAAUCAACAAGGCUAUAUAUGCUUAGUUUGAACUCCAAUGCCAUCCUCCUCUCUUACAUGUUGGCAAAUCAGUCAAUGUCUCUGUCAUACAGUACUCUUUACGUUGUUGUUUUCAUAGGCUAGCAAGAAUUCUAGCUAGGUAGCCUAACCUAACUUCCUCGCAUGGGCAACAAUGAGCCAGCUUAGUUAGCUAGUUAACUAGUUAGUUAAUGUGAGCCUCAGGCCAGUGGUACAAUAUAUUAAUUAAUGGUUAGAUCAGUGUCGCCAUCAUAAUCAUUGGCCUGUAGAGAGAAUUAAGUCAAAACCACAAGUCCAAAUCCCCAUCUCCAUCCAUGGCCUAGGAAAGGGACCAUCUAGCAAGCUAGCUACUGCAGGACAUCAACACAAGUUGGCCAGAAACUAAAAAUAAUUUUUUUCUUAGGAUGUGAUUUGAUUGGUGUGAAGCCAAAUCCGAAGUGACCUCCUGUUGGGGGGUGGGGGAGGGGUUUGCUGCACCAGGCCAUCCCACAGUUGAGCUCAGCUCAAUGCUGAUUGGCUAUUUAUUUAAUUUAUUUGUAUUUAUCAAGGAAGGCCAAAUGCUACAGCCACAACACUUCAUAAUCUUUUGUUCCAGACAGCGUCAGAUACAGGGACGACACAGCCUCUCUGUUCCACUCGCUCAGAGAUUCAGCCACUAGCGAAUUGACGAAAAAUGAUGAAAACACAGAGAGAGAGACGAAAGAUACAUUUAAAUGUUUCUAUUGGUCAAAUAUUUGGGGAAGCUUCCUUUGGUAUCCAUGACUACACAUCACUGAUAGAUAGUGGCUGGGAUCUCUGCACUAUAGGUCUAGACAUGUGGGAUGAUGAUGAUGUUGAUGAUGAAGAUGAUGUUGAUGACGAUGAUGAUGAUGAUGAAGAUGAUGUUGAGGAUGAUUGAUGAAGAUGAUGUUGAGGAUGAUGAUGAAGAUGAUGUUGAGGAUGACGAUGUUGAGAAAGAAACUGAGUGUUAGUCUGUCUCUGUCUGUCUGUUGUCUGAUUUGUAACCAAUCUGAAGAUGUUCUAGUCCUAUCCCUGAUGCAUUAUGGGGACUGUAGUACAUUGUGGUAUUAUUCUAAAAUACAGUGUACAGUAGUAAUAAACUAAAGAAAAAAAGACAACAACGUAUCAAUAUACGAGCCUUUGUUUGUUUGUAGUGUGCUGGAUAGUGCAUGCAGUACAUGCCUGUAGCUGCUGAGAAACAACCAACAUGUUAUUAUAAGGAAAGUCUUACAAUAAAGAUGCUGCGUAUCACGACA
Oncorhynchus keta (chum salmon) is the source of this 7984-nucleotide long non-coding RNA. RefSeq lists it as uncharacterized. NCBI's taxonomy places the organism in Eukaryota, Metazoa, Chordata, Actinopteri, Salmoniformes, Salmonidae. The record is from RefSeq and is a predicted model, not a curated record. The transcript has 2 exons.